GAUAGUGCGCGGGCUGCCCACCUUUCCUGUCAGGUGACUGGGGAAGGCUUCACUGAGAAGCUGACCCUUGACUGAAGACCUGAAGGGAGCAUGAGGGUCGGAAGGGGACAGAGGCUGUCACCCAGGGGACGUCCAUGAGAUCUCACAAGCUCCAGGCGACCAGAGACCUUGUUUGUUAGGCAAAGUGCUCAAGGCCUAGGACAACGGGCGCCACAAAUGGGCGAAUGGACGCGGGGAAUGGAUGAGGAACUCGGUGCGUCCGAAGACCACUUGAGAAGGAAGGGCGACAGCAGGUGCGGAAGGCAGGACGAGGCUGCGGGACCGGCAGGGGGCGAAGCGGCGGGGGAAGGAACCCUGCAGUCAGCCCGGCGGCGGGCGCGCAGCGGGAGGAAGGCGUGCAGACCUCCACGGGGACGUGGGGACAGCGCCGGA
Long non-coding RNA from Suricata suricatta (meerkat), 432 nucleotides. RefSeq lists it as uncharacterized. The record is from RefSeq and is a predicted model, not a curated record. The transcript has 3 exons. Lineage: Eukaryota; Metazoa; Chordata; Mammalia; Carnivora; Herpestidae.